This 407-nucleotide long non-coding RNA is filed under the name Nicotiana benthamiana. Its description in RNAcentral is "long non-coding RNA (NBEN_LNC022841)". The record is from RNAcentral. Lineage: Eukaryota; Viridiplantae; Streptophyta; Magnoliopsida; Solanales; Solanaceae.
GUCACGGUGGAAAAUAAUAUAAAGGUAAGUGAAGAAGAAGUCAAGGAGUUGCAGUUUUAAAGGGUUCACAAGAUUGAAAAAAGAGGGGCACGACUCUAAUAUUUACCUUAUUUUAUUUUAUCAUUUCGUAAGUAUUAUCAUAUGCAAUAUCAUCAUAGAGUUUAACAUUCUCUGUGAUGAUCAUAGAAUUCUUAAUCCUCUCUAGUUCUUAUUUUUUCAUGAUUGCUAGUAGAUGAGGCUAUUCAUGUUAAAAUUAUAUCGACAAUAAAGAAAAGAAAUAUGAGAAGAAAAGUAAAAAAAUGAGAACACAAGGAUUUAACGUGGAAAAACCCUUUCGGGAAAAAACCACGGGAACAACCGAUGAUAUCACUAUAUGGUAAAAUAUGAGGAUAUUACAAGAGUAUUUA